GUAGGGAAUCUUGCGCAAUGGGCGAAAGCCUGACGCAGCCAUGCCGCGUGAAUGAUGAAGGUCUUAGGAUUGUAAAAUUCUUUCACCGGGGACGAUAAUGACGGUACCCGGAGAAGAAGCCCCGGCUAACUUCGUGCCAGCAGCCGCGGUAAUACGAAGGGGGCUAGCGUUGCUCGGAAUUACUGGGCGUAAAGGGAGCGUAGGCGGAUAGUUUAGUCAGAGGUGAAAGCCCAGGGCUCAACCUUGGAAUUGCCUUUGAUACUGGCUAUCUUGAGUAUGGAAGAGGUAUGUGGAACUCCGAGUGUAGAGGUGAAAUUCGUAGAUAUUCGGAAGAACACCAGUGGCGAAGGCGACAUACUGGUCCAUUACUGACGCUGAGGCGCGAAAGCGUGGGGAGCAAACAGGAUUAGAAACCCCAGUAGUCC
Molecule: ribosomal RNA, 425 nt
Filed under: uncultured bacterium
Lineage: Bacteria
Description: partial 16S ribosomal RNA
Rfam family: Bacterial small subunit ribosomal RNA
Source: RNAcentral